Molecule: long non-coding RNA, 1120 nt
Filed under: Olea europaea subsp. europaea
Lineage: Eukaryota; Viridiplantae; Streptophyta; Magnoliopsida; Lamiales; Oleaceae
Source: RNAcentral
CAGGGGGGAGUGGGUCAGAUGGGGUAUGUUGACUCAUCGUGGCCAUCAGUUGCUGCAUUUGGUUCGUUUUUAGAUGACACGAUGGGGAUGGAGGAGCGAGAGAGGAUACCUGUGGUGGAGGGGAUGCCCGCGCAGGAUAUACCUGAGGACGUGGAGGGGGUACCCGAGGAGGAGAGGGUACCGGAGAUGGAGGUGGAGGUGGUAUCGGAGGUGGGGGUGCCCGUGCAGGGGAUACCCGAGGUCGUCGAGGGGGCAUCGGAGGUGGAGGUGGAGGUCGUACCCGUGCAGGGGAUACCCGGGGAUGCCGAGGGGGUACCUGAGGAGGAUAGGGUACUGGAGCUGGAGGUGGUACCCGUGCACGGGAUACCCGGGGAUGUCGAGGGGGCACCGGAGGAGGAUAGGGUACCGGAGGUAGAGGUGGUACCCGAGAAGACGCCAGACUCGCCAGACUCGCCGGUCGUGGUCUUUGUGUCGGAGGAGGUGGUCCCGACAGCGGGCGAGGGGGUCGUCCCGAUGGCUGGGGAGAUGGAGAUUCCCGAGGCACAUGAGGAGCGGGUGGUCGGCAAGAGGCCAAGGGUGCCAUCACAGUACGUUCUUUCUCCCUUUACCGCGGAGGCGAAGAGGAGAAGGUUCGUCGACGGGACGCACCCGAAUUUAUUCAGGGAGGUGGACCACGCCAAGUGGAAAGCCUUUGAGACAGAGUGGAGAGCACUGCAGCCUGGGUCAGUUUUGUAUUUUAUGUAAUUACUAUAGUACGCAUACGCUGACGCUGACACAUGUAUACUUCAUAUAAUUAAAAAUUCUGUUCUUAUUUUUUCAGGGCCAGCCGCACGAUUGCUGAGAAGACGAUCUCAAAUGCUUACAAGUGGUUCCACGACAUCACCACUUCGGGGGCUUGGCUCGCCGACGAUGUAAGUGAAAUGAAAAUAUUGUUAUUUAUUAUGUACGUUCGAAAUCAAUUUUUUGAAUGAAAUUCGUAGAUUAACUCCUUUCUUUAUUGGUGUUUCUUGAUGUAGCACAUCGACUUGAGCAUGGAUUUGCUACGGGAUCGUGCUGAAAGACAUCCAAAAUCGUUCAACAUUCCUGGCAGACUCAUAUUGAACAUCGAGUUCAUCCGUGC